Molecule: long non-coding RNA, 339 nt
Filed under: Androctonus crassicauda
Lineage: Eukaryota; Metazoa; Arthropoda; Arachnida; Scorpiones; Buthidae
Source: RNAcentral
CUGCACACAACAUAUGCCAACAUCAGCAUCACAAUCAACAAAACUAUGUAAUACAUAAGUGCUUCCAAAGAGCUGGCAUUAUAAAAGAUGAAACCGAAGUUGGGUUAGAAAAUGUUGAAGAUGAUAUGUUUCUUGAUGUACUAGAAGACAUUGACUGGGCACAUAUUUCAGGGGGAAUUGAUUUUGUUAGUUUUGUUGAUUGUGAUGCUGAUGUUGCCAUAUGUUGUGUGCAGAAUGAUGAUGAUAUAAUUAUGGAAGUUGUGCCAGCAUCACUUGAAAGUAAUAAUUCAGAGGAAUCUGAAGUAGCAGAUGGCAAAUCUGUGGACCCUCCAGUCUGGC